GAUGAACGCUGGCGGCGUGCCUAAUACAUGCAAGUCGUACGGAAAGGCCCUUCGGGGUACUCGAGUGGCGGACGGCUGAGUAACGCGUGGGAACGUGCCCCAAAGUGAGGGAUAACGCACCGAAAGGUGUGCUAAUACCGCAUAUGGUCUUCGGAUUAAAGCUUCGGCGCUUUGGGAGCGGCCCGCGUACGAUUAGAUAGUUGGUGAGGUAAUGGCUCACCAAGUCGACGAUCGUUAGCUGGUCUGAGAGGACGAUCAGCCAGACUGGGACUGAGACACGGCCCAGACUCCUACGGGAGGCAGCAGUAAGGAAUCUUCCACAAUGGGGGCAACCCUGAUGGAGCAACGCCGCGUGCAGGAUGAAGGUUUUCGGAUCGUAAACUGCUUUUAUGAGUGAAGAAUAUGACGGUAACUUAUGAAUAAGGAUCGGCUAACUACGUGCCAGCCGCCGCUGUAA
Molecule: ribosomal RNA, 457 nt
Filed under: uncultured bacterium
Lineage: Bacteria
Description: partial 16S ribosomal RNA
Rfam family: Bacterial small subunit ribosomal RNA
Source: RNAcentral